Molecule: ribosomal RNA, 253 nt
Filed under: uncultured bacterium
Lineage: Bacteria
Description: partial 16S ribosomal RNA
Rfam family: Bacterial small subunit ribosomal RNA
Source: RNAcentral
UACGUAGGGUGCAAGCAUUAAUCGGAUUUAUUGGGCGUAAAGGGCGCGUAGGCUGGAAUGCCAGUCAGAUGUGAAAGCCCGGGGCUCAACCCCGGAACAGCAUUUGAAACUACAUUCCUAGAGGGUAGGCGGAGAAAACGGAAUUCCACAAGUAGCGGUGAAAUGCGUAGAUAUGUGGAAGAACACCAGUGGCGAAGGCGGUUUUCUAGCUUAUACCUGACGCUGAGGCGCGAAAGCAAGGGGAGCAAACAGG